This 240-nucleotide long non-coding RNA is filed under the name Elaeis guineensis (African oil palm). RNAcentral describes it as "long non-coding RNA (EGUI_LNC052420)". Lineage: Eukaryota; Viridiplantae; Streptophyta; Magnoliopsida; Arecales; Arecaceae. The record is from RNAcentral.
CGAUGGCCACAGCAGCAACCCUUGCUCCAUUACUGACCCAAAGAGUGAUCUUACUUUCUUUCAACCCCCUAACUUCUUCAAGACCCUGCAUUGAAGUACACAAAUGAGCACUUGAACCAGAAUCAAAAAUUCAACUAGAAGAAGAGAAAAAUUGUUAAAUAAGUUUCAAUAAUGAGCAUUUCAGACGUACCUUCUGAAGGCCCAUCAUUCUUCCUGCUCUUAACAGUCGUCAGAUAGGCC